GACGAACGCUGGCGGCGUGCCUAAUACAUGCAAGUAGAACGCUGAAGGCGGAGCUUGCUUCUCUGGUUGAGUUGCGAACGGGUGAGUAACGCGUAGGUAACCUGCCUGGUAGCGGGGGAUAACUAUUGGAAACGAUAGCUAAUACCGCAUAAGAGUAGAUGUUGCAUGACAUUUGCUUAAAAGGUGCAAUUGCAUCACUACCAGAUGGACCUGCGUUGUAUUAGGUAGUUGGUGAGGUAACGGCUCACCAAGGCAACGAUACAUAGCCGACCGGAGAGGGGGGUCGGCCACACUGGGAGGGUGACACGCCCCAGAGGCCUACAGGUGGCAGCAGUAGGGAAUCUUCAGCAAGGGACGGAAGUCUGACCGAACAACGCCGCAUGAGUGAAGAAGGUUUUCGGAUCGUAAAGCUCUGUUGUAAGAGAAGAACGAGUGUGAGAGUGGAAAGUUCACACUGUGACGGUAUCUUACCAGAAAGAGACGGCUAACUACGUG
This 495-nucleotide ribosomal RNA is filed under the name uncultured bacterium. Its description in RNAcentral is "partial 16S ribosomal RNA". It matches the Rfam family "Bacterial small subunit ribosomal RNA", at positions 28 to 507 of the family's 1533-position model. The record is from RNAcentral.